AGGGAGACCUACCUUGGGGCAUCUGAGGGGAGUUAGACCACCCUCAGGCCAGCAAAGGUUAUCCCAGGUCGGUCGGGGUUGAAGGGAUGGUUGACUGGGGUUCUGGAGGGGAACCGAGGGGAGGGCUAUUAGCUCAGGUGGUUAGAGCGCACCCCUGAUAAGGGUGAGGUCCCUGGUUCGAGUCCAGGAUGGCCCACUGUUUGUCCUGGAGAAGGGAGAGCUAGCAAGCUAAAAGCGAGCUGGCCAAGCUGAGGGCAAAGCCAGAGGGUGGGUGCAGUCUGGAUUGGGGGUAUAGCUCAGCUGGUAGAGCGCUGCCUUUGCACGGCAGAAGUCAGCGGUUCGAGUCCGCUUACCUCCACCACC
RNAcentral lists this transfer RNA (363 nucleotides) under uncultured cyanobacterium. RNAcentral's name for it is "partial 16S-23S intergenic spacer". The stretch from base 286 to 358 matches the Rfam family "tRNA". Lineage: Bacteria; Bacillati; Cyanobacteriota. The record is from RNAcentral.